UAAGGUUAAGUUAAUAAGGGCGCACGGUGGAUGCCUUGGCACUAGGAGCCGACGAAGGACGUGACAAACGACGAUAUGCCUUGGGUAGCUGUAAGUAAGCGAUGAUCCAGGGAUUUCCGAAUGGGGGAACCCAACAGGUAAUACCUGUUACCCACAUCUGUUAAGGAUGUGAGGAGGAAGACGCAGUGAACUGAAACAUCUAAGUAGCUGCAGGAAGAGAAAGCAAAAGCGAUUGCCUUAGUAGCGGCGAGCGAAACGGCAGAAGGGCAAACCGAAGAGUUUACUCUUCGGGGUUGUAGGACUGCAAUGUGGACUCAAAGAUUAUAGAAGAAUGAUUUGGGAAGAUCAGCCAAAGAGAGUAAUAGCCUCGUAUUUAAAAUAGUCUUUGUACCUAGCAGUAUCCUGAGUACGGCGGGACACGUGAAAUCCCGUCGGAAUCUGGGAGGACCAUCUCCCAACCCUAAAUACUCCCUAGUGACCGAUAGUGAACCAGUACCGUGAGGGAAAGGUGAAAAGCACCCCGGGAGGGGAGUGAAAUAGAACCUGAAACCGUGUGCCUACAACAAGUUCGAGCCCGUUAAUGGGUGAGAGCGUGCCUUUUGUAGAAUGAACCGGCGAGUUACGUUAUGAUGCGAGGUUAAGUUGAAGAGACGGAGCCGUAGGGAAACCGAGUCUGAACAGGGCGAAUUAGUAUCAUGACGUAGACCCGAAACCAUGUGACCUACCCAUGAGCAGGUUGAAGGUGCGGUAAGACGCACUGGAGGACCGAACCAGGGCACGUUGAAAAGUGCUUGGAUGACUUGUGGGUAGCGGAGAAAUUCCAAACGAACUUGGAGAUAGCUGGUUCUCUCCGAAAUAGCUUUAGGGCUAGCGUCGACAUUAGAGAUUCUUGGAGGUAGAGCACUGUUUGGGUGAGGGGUCCAUCCCGGAUUACCAAUCUCAGAUAAACUCCGAAUGCCAAUGAAUUAUGGUCGGCAGUCAGACUGCGAGUGCUAAGAUCCGUAGUCGAAAGGGAAACAGCCCAGACCACCAGCUAAGGUCCCAAAAUAAUUGUUAAGUGGAAAAGGAUGUGGGGUUGCACAGACAACUAGGAUGUUAGCUUAGAAGCAGCUAUUCAUUCAAAGAGUGCGUAAUAGCUCACUAGUCGAGUGACCCUGCGCCGAAAAUGUACCGGGGCUAAAACAAUUUACCGAAGCUGUGGAUACCUUUAUAGGUAUGGUAGGAGAGCGUUCUAUGUGUGA
Molecule: ribosomal RNA, 1241 nt
Filed under: Streptococcus pneumoniae
Lineage: Bacteria; Bacillati; Bacillota; Bacilli; Lactobacillales; Streptococcaceae
Description: bacterial LSU rRNA
Rfam family: Bacterial large subunit ribosomal RNA
Source: RNAcentral